AGCUUUAUAGUUUAAAAAAUAUAAAAUUGCAAAUUUUAAGAUAAGAAAUUAUUUCUUUAAGGCUU
This 65-nucleotide transfer RNA is filed under the name Kennelia xylinana. RNAcentral describes it as "tRNA-Cys". It matches the Rfam family "tRNA". Rfam says of the family: Transfer RNA (tRNA) molecules are approximately 80 nucleotides in length. Their secondary structure includes four short double-helical elements and three loops (D, anti-codon, and T loops). Lineage: Eukaryota; Metazoa; Arthropoda; Insecta; Lepidoptera; Tortricidae. The record is from RNAcentral.